UAACAAUGAUACCCUUAGUAGCGGCGAGCGAAGUGGGUAAAGCUCAAGUUUAAAACCUGUUUGUCCUAGACAAACCGGAUUGUAAACUAAGGACGUGCUAUCCAGGCUCUUUGGACCUUCAAGUCCUUUGGAAUAAGGCUUCACAGAGGGUGACAAUCCCGUAGAGGGUCUUGAAAGAGUCUAUUGCGAUGCAUGCUCCAAGAGUCAGGUUGUUUGGGAAUGCAGCCUAAAGUGGGAGGUAAAUCCCUCCUAAAGCUAAAUAUUGGCGAGAGACCGAUAGCAAACAAGUACCGUGAGGGAAAGUUGAAAAGGACUUUGAAAAGAGAGUCAAAAGUACGUGAAAUUGCUUAAAGGGAAGCGUUUGGAGCUAGUUUGGCUAGUCUGUUAUCAGCCUGAGCUUCGGCUUUGGUGUACUAUCAGGCUAUUUGCCGGCCAACUUUCAGGAUUGGAAGGAAAGCUUAGUGCUUUGGAGUCUAAAGAGACCUUUGCGGAAGCCUCUGGUGGAGCGUUGGUCUGCCUUGGCCCUUCUGAACCUAUAGGUGGCUUAAUGGCUCUAAACGA
Molecule: ribosomal RNA, 561 nt
Filed under: Rhizomucor pusillus
Lineage: Eukaryota; Fungi; Mucoromycota; Mucoromycetes; Mucorales; Lichtheimiaceae
Description: eukaryotic LSU rRNA
Rfam family: Eukaryotic large subunit ribosomal RNA
Source: RNAcentral